This 253-nucleotide ribosomal RNA is filed under the name uncultured bacterium. Its description in RNAcentral is "partial 16S ribosomal RNA". It matches the Rfam family "Bacterial small subunit ribosomal RNA", at positions 524 to 776 of the family's 1533-position model. The record is from RNAcentral.
UACGUAGGGUGCAAGCGUUACUCGGAAUUACUGGGCGUAAAGCGUGCGCAGGCGGUUAUGCAAGACAGGUGUGAAAUCCCCGGGCUCAACCUGGGAACUGCAUUUGUGACUGCAUAGCUAGAGUACGGUAGAGGGGGAUGGAAUUCCGCGUGUAGCAGUGAAAUGCGUAGAUAUGCGGAGGAACACCGAUGGCGAAGGCAAUCCCCUGGACCUGUACUGACGCUCAUGCACGAAAGCGUGGGGAGCAAACAGG